GCACCACAGCCAAUCACAAGGCCUCCCAGAGCCGAGCCGCAGCACAGCGCAGCUCGGCAGCCUCUGCCCGUUUGACUCGCAGCAGCCCGAUCCAACCCGCCGGGCUCCGCCUCACACGCGCCGACUCCCCCUACCCAACCGCAGGACACGCCCUCUCAAAAAGCAAAGCCACGCCUCUCUUCGGCUACGUUCCGCAGGGUACACCCACAGGCCGAGGCUUUUCAAGGCCCCCCCCCCCAUCCAAGGAAACGAAAUCACGCCCAUCAUCAUACUUCUUAUUGGGCAGAAGAGAGAAUUGGUGGUGCUGGGAAUCAAAUCCAUUUGGAAGCCACGAUAAGCCUUUAGCUCUACAAGUGUAUUGGCUGUGAUUAUUCGAUGGCAAGGAGUAUGCACUCUGCAUAUGAUCAGAAAUACUUUUAUCUGUAACAACAACAAAACACCAUAAUUGUAAUGUAUAUAGAAUAUUUUUCUCUGCUUUUUCACAGACUCAAAGCAGCUUACAAUAAAUAAUGCAGAUAAAAUGUUUCUACAAUAAAUGAAGCCUCUUGAAAUUCUGCAUUUUC
Hemicordylus capensis (graceful crag lizard) is the source of this 563-nucleotide long non-coding RNA. RefSeq lists it as uncharacterized. The record is from RefSeq and is a predicted model, not a curated record. The transcript has 2 exons. Lineage: Eukaryota; Metazoa; Chordata; Lepidosauria; Squamata; Cordylidae.